This 467-nucleotide ribosomal RNA is filed under the name uncultured bacterium. RNAcentral's name for it is "partial 16S ribosomal RNA". It matches the Rfam family "Bacterial small subunit ribosomal RNA", at positions 28 to 523 of the family's 1533-position model. The record is from RNAcentral.
GACGAACGCUGGCGGCGUGCUUAACACAUGCAAGUCGAGCGGAAAACUUCGGUUUCCAGCGGCGGACGGGUGAGUAACACGUGGGCAACCUGCCUCACAAUGAGGGAUAGCCUUCCGAAAGGAAGAUUAAUACCUCAUAACACAAGAGAAACGCAUGUUUCUCUUGCCAAAGAAUUUCGUUGUGAGAUGGGCCCGCGGCGCAUUAGCUUGUUGGUGAGGUAACGGCUCACCAAGGCUUCGAUGCGUAGCCGACCUGAGAGGGUGAUCGGCCACAGUGGAACUGAGACACGGUCCAGACUCCUACGGGAGGCAGCAGUGGAGAAUAUUGCACAAUGGAGGAAACUCUGAUGCAGCAACGCCGCGUGAGUGAUGAAGGUCUUCGGAUUGUAAAGCUCUGUCUUCUGGGACGAUAAUGACGGUACCAGAGGAGGAAGCCACGGCUAACUACGUGCCAGCCGCCGCCGUAA